GUUCUAGCUCAGCGAGAGACCAAGUAAUCGGACUCCAUAGCUGGAUCAAAUGGUGGUUGGCAAAGUAUUGUGUGGUAACUAUAAGCAAGUGUUGAUGUUGCGUUCCAUGUUUCUUGCCGAGAUGAUCCUGGUACAGAGCCCAGGUGUAUAGAUAAUGAGAAAAAUAAUCACAAGAAGAAGUAGCAAAAUUCGGCACCCUCCAUGGUUGUUCAGUUUCGCCGAGAUCAAGUUGGUUGCCUAC
Molecule: long non-coding RNA, 241 nt
Filed under: Hordeum vulgare
Lineage: Eukaryota; Viridiplantae; Streptophyta; Magnoliopsida; Poales; Poaceae
Description: long non-coding RNA (HVUL_LNC009760)
Source: RNAcentral